Molecule: non-coding RNA, 906 nt
Organism: Notechis scutatus (mainland tiger snake)
Lineage: Eukaryota; Metazoa; Chordata; Lepidosauria; Squamata; Elapidae
Source: RefSeq, a predicted model, not a curated record
UCACCUUCAACUAGCAGGGACGAGAGCCACAUGGUUGCAUUGGAGAGUCUUAAGUGUAACCUGGGUUCUUGCCUAUUUCAGCCAGUGCCCUACAUGGGCAACAGCUGGUGUCUUACUAUUGAGGCCAAAAAUUACUUGGCUGGUAAAAGGCAGAGAUGCUUGUAACCACGAGGAAUGCAGGCAAAGAUAAGGUGUGAGAUAAGAUCUCACAAGCUGCUUUCUGCCACGUUGUGGGUCUCCCACUUGGCAGCCCAAGACCUACUGGGCUGCAACUACUCUGACCCCCCAGCUAGCACACAAGAACUCAACAGUUGGACAGGGGGUGCUAAGUGUAACCUGGAUUCUUGUCUAUUUCAGCCAGUGCCCUACAGGGGCGACAUUCCCGGAGGUCUGGAAACCAACAGGACCAUCACAGUGCAAGGCAUUAUUCCGAAGAAUGCUACCAGGUUUGAAAUCAAUUUUACGGCUGGCCAAGAUAUCCCUUUGCAUAUUAACCUUCACAUGUAACUGUGGAGAGCCGUAGUACCCAAUAGUUUUUUGAAUGGCAACUGGGGAAGGAACGCAAAUUGACCUUUAACCCUUUCCAGCCUGGGCAGUACUUUAAACUCUCAAUCCACUGUGACAACCGUGAAUUCAAGUUUUAUGCCAACGACCAGCCCUUCUUCAACUACACCCAUCGUUAUGUCCCUAUCAAAAACAUCAGCACCCUAGAGAUCGAUGGAGACGUGACCCUUUCCUACAUUAAAUACUAAGCAAUUGGGGGGGGGGGAGAGAUCAGUAGCAGCUCUCUCUCUGCCAGUACACUUACAAUCCUGCUGAAUUUGAGUGGUCUACAAGUUCCAAUCAAUCAAUCAGACACUCAAGAAUAAUUGAGAAUAUUAAGCAACAUUUUCAAUAAAGCAUUUG